Long non-coding RNA from Acyrthosiphon pisum (pea aphid), 1144 nucleotides. RefSeq lists it as uncharacterized. The record is from RefSeq and is a predicted model, not a curated record. The transcript is spliced from 4 exons. Lineage: Eukaryota; Metazoa; Arthropoda; Insecta; Hemiptera; Aphididae.
AUCAUUAUACUAUUUUCAAUCUAAUGUUUGGGACUUGUAUAGGCAACACAUCAUACAUAUUCUUAUCAACUUAGGUUGAUGAAAAACCUAGGUGAUAGUUUAGACUUUAUUUGUUACAGAAACUUUAUAAUGUCGCGUCUUGUAAUUAAAAGUAAUUGACGCAAGUAUAAAGUAAGUAAUUGUGUGAGGUUUCUAAAGUUUUAAAUGUUUGCUAAAAGUCACUUAAUGAUUUACUGUUACUGUUUUUAGUUCACACAAUGUAUUAUAUCAUGGUUUUCAAAACUGAAAUAUAAUAUAAUGUAGGUACCUCCGUACCUACAAGGAACUAGGAAGUCGAGCCAAUGUAUUGAACAAUUUUCAGAAGUUGAUUUUCUUUAAGACAAUUAUUCUACAGACCAAGUAUACAUUCAAAAGAUUGUAAAUUGUAAUUCAAGUUAUAAAAAUAUUAAUAUUAAAGUGAAUCCUGCAACUAGGGUAACAACAAGGUUAUGCAUUGCUGAAUGGUUCAAUUUUAAUAGCACGGAGGGCUUAAUAAUAUAUUUAAAUUUCAAAAAAACACAUAACAAGUCUGAAAAUUCAAUUGGAUGUGAUUAAUUUUGGGACAUUGCUGGUAACUUCAAUUACCACUUUAGGUUUUUUUGAGAAAAAACGUGUUUAUAAACAUACCAUAAGUUUAUAUUAUAUUAUUAUGUACACCAACUACAUUCAAACCUUCAUAACACAGAUUAUUGUAAAUUGUAAUUAUGUACUUUGAAUGUUGAGUAUACUCCAUUCAAAAUAAGUUGGAAAAAAAUCACGAUGAAAAUUUGUCGCAUUCGAGCAUGUGCAGUCUUGUUAGCGGCUGUUAACUACUGGCCAAUCAUAGGGGUGCUACUUUUCCGAGGCUGCACAGUUUCUCCAAAUUUAUUUGGAAUAGAUCAGCAAAAGAGGGUUCCAAGAUCCAGAUAAACUAGGACAUCAUUGUAUAACACUGACUACUCAAUUAUGUUUUCUUCAGUUCAUAAAUAUAUUUUGUCAUUAUCAGUUUCAGAUGGAUGAAAUCUACACAACUGUAUAGCAAUUUGAUAUUUUUUUAAAUUAAUUAUAAUUGUGAGAAAUGAAGUAUAAACAUUUAAUUAUUGUUAAGAUUGUUGAAACAAAUAAU